RNAcentral lists this ribosomal RNA (464 nucleotides) under Vreelandella stevensii. RNAcentral's name for it is "partial 16S ribosomal RNA". It matches the Rfam family "Bacterial small subunit ribosomal RNA", at positions 338 to 795 of the family's 1533-position model. The record is from RNAcentral. Lineage: Bacteria; Pseudomonadati; Pseudomonadota; Gammaproteobacteria; Oceanospirillales; Halomonadaceae.
CCUACGGGAGGCUGCAGUGGGGAAUAUUGGACAAUGGGGGGAACCCUGAUCCAGCCAUGCCGCGUGUGUGAAGAAGGCCCUCGGGUUGUAAAGCACUUUCAGUGAGGAAGAACGCCUGGUGGUUAAUACCCAUCAGGAAAGACAUCACUCACAGAAGAAGCACCGGCUAACUCCGUGCCAGCAGCCGCGGUAAUACGGAGGGUGCGAGCGUUAAUCGGAAUUACUGGGCGUAAAGCGCGCGUAGGUGGCUUGAUAAGCCGGUUGUGAAAGCCCCGGGCUCAACCUGGGAACGGCAUCCGGAACUGUCAAGCUAGAGUGCAGGAGAGGAAGGUAGAAUUCCCGGUGUAGCGGUGAAAUGCGUAGAGAUCGGGAGGAAUACCAGUGGCGAAGGCGGCCUUCUGGACUGACACUGACACUGAGGUGCGAAAGCGUGGGUAGCAAACAGGAUUAGAUACCCCGUAGUC